Long non-coding RNA from Cyprinus carpio (common carp), 2926 nucleotides. RefSeq lists it as uncharacterized. The transcript has 3 exons. The record is from RefSeq and is a predicted model, not a curated record. NCBI's taxonomy places the organism in Eukaryota, Metazoa, Chordata, Actinopteri, Cypriniformes, Cyprinidae.
CAUCAUUUGCUCACUCUCAAGUUUUUUCAGACCUACAGUAUAUGACUGACUUUCUUCCUUGGAACAUAUAAAUUUUUUGAAUUUGCCAGUACAAAGUCCUUGAAUUUAAUUGGUCAGGCAGUCUUCUAAAGAUGUUGGUAUAUAGCUGCCUCUUACGUAGUUUUGUUUAUCCUGAAGUCGCAUGCUACCCUACGCAAACCUCCAACUAACACAUGGUAAGCAAGGCAAGAGAUGUUGUAGUGAGAGUGCAGCAUGUUUGUAGGUCAUGGUCAUUGGCGUUAAUAUUGAGGUUAGUGGUUUAUUGGUAAAUAAACCAACAAAGGUAAAGUUAAAAUGUAUGUUAUUUCCUGUAUGUGUUUCUAUCUGUGGUAUUCAAGGUAACCGAAAGGAAACUGGGACAGAUGUUUCUGUGUACAGAUCUGCUUAUGGCUCUGUUCUUCUUGGUUCAGUCCAGUCCUUGGACCUACUACAUCUACUGCUUGCUCCCUCUGCCUGUGUGGUUCUCUGUCAUGAGGAAAUUUGAAACUCUUGCCGGACUUGUUUGAGCAAUCCCCUCAUUACCACUCAGCAAAUGCUUUGGAUAUUUUUUGCUAGUUACUUUUGGAAUUGAAUUACUUGUAAGUGCUCGAUUAGCUGUGUGCUAGACAUGGUGCAUGCUGUUGUCUGUGUUUGAGUGUUAGCGCUAUUUUGCACUCUAGUAAUUAGAUGUGUUAACUAUUUCACUUCUAUUUCACUUCUUUCAUUUCCUGUCUGCUGGUUGUGAGUUUUUUCUAUCAGGCAAUGUUGACCUUGGGGCUGCUUGUGCUGGCACUGUGGCCUGUGGUUUCUGGCCUUUACACAAAAGGUCUGAAAGUAGUGUUUUUUAAUACUCGUUUUUGUGUUUUAUACUGUAGUUCAGUUCAUUGAGCUGGAUUUUGAGCUGUCUCUUUCUGGCUGUGUUUCCACUGUUGCCUGUGGUGGGACAGGAACCAGACAUUAACUGUGUGUGAGCACUCUUUGUUCACUUAAACCUGUCAUACACAAUAAUUUGUGGUCAUUUUCUUCAUUUAAACUUUUAAACACAUUCAUACGCUCUGAUUAUUAAAGCAGAAUGGCGUCAGGAAGGUUUAUCUUCUAAAUUGAAUGGAGACGCUCUCCUCUGUUCCGAAGGGAUCGUCAGCUGAUCAUCUGCCAGGUCAUUUUUGACUCUUUCUCUGUGUCCAUUUUCAUUUGCAUGUUCUGUGGUUUCGGUUAGUGGUCCCAUGGAAUGCAGCUGUAGUAAGGGUUUCAUUUUGAUUUUGUUUUUAAAUUAUUUACUUAUUUUUAUGAUUUAAUUUAUUAUUAGCCUGCAGUUUCCUCAUGAACCCCCAAAGAGAUCUGCAAAUUCCAGUUGAGAAGCCCUGUGUUUAAAAAUAGUGAUCCAGGGUACAGUUCUGUAAAGAGUAGGUUCAGGCGAGUUAGAGAAAUUCAGUAUAUGACAUGAAAACCAUUUAAAUAAGGCAAAAGUAAGGGAGAAUAGAAGGGGCUAUAAAGUAAAUACACUAGGAAGUAAUGACCAAAAUGCAAAUGGAAAAUACACAUAGUAAUAGGGUAUCCGCUAUUGACUGAGUAUAAUUUGCCUUUUAUAGUAUAUACUGCAUUUCCUGUUGCUGAUUAUCUCUGAAAUUUUAUGAUAUCUCUUGCAACAGCAGCAGACAGAAACAAGCAACAUUUUGUAUGUGUUUAGCUAGUAAAACCAAAUAGUAAAAAUCAAAACAGAACUUUUUUUUGUACACAAGACACAUUACUGUUACUCUACUGCAAACUAUUUCAGAAUCAAAUUAUUUUAACCUAUUUUAAAUAGUAGAUACAAAAUCAAAAAAGAUUUGAUCUCUAGUAGGCUAUUCCUUUCACACUUGCAUUUAGCCUAAAUGUAGCCUACUGUGAGAUUGGAAAUGUAUUGUCUUGCCCCAAAAUACAUUUUGGUUUAUAUUUUGGUUUAUAUUUUAUUUAUAUAUUUUUUAAAAAUAUAUUUUGGACAACUUUUUAUUUAUUUAUUUCCAUAUGGGCUAAAUGGGCAUUACAUCUAAAUUUAACCUACUUUAAACUCCUCCGGGAAUCUUAUUUGUGUACAUUUGUUUGCAGAUGAUGCAGGUGAUGCUGUGUGCUUACACCCUGACCAGCACACACCCAAGUCUGCAGCUGAAGCAAGGCUUGCCUCUCUUUAACUAGCUUGUUAGCUUGCUCACACUAGGUUUGCCAUCUCCAUUCCCAUGAUGCUUUAUUACCAAUUUUAGACUGUAAAGGGAUAGUUUGCCCAAAAAUUACACUUCUGUCAUUGUUUACUCAUCCUCAUGUCAUUUCAAAUCUGUAUGGUUUUCUGUCUUCUGUGGAACACUCAUAAAGUCAUAAAGAUUUAAAAUGACAUGAGGGUGACAAAAUGGUGAGAUGAACCCUUGAUGCAUGACUGCUAACCAGUGAAUUGCACUUCUUCUUUUCAUCCGUCCUGUUCAUACUUUAACCCUUGCUCUCUAACACUUUGUUUUUUAGUUUCCUCAUUUUUGAUAACGUUGUUAAGUUCCACCAGGCUCUUCUCACACACUUCUGAGUAUCCUGAUGUCCUUAGUUUGUGUCUACCUCCUCCUGAGCACAGGCUCUCCAGCAUUGAUUUGGCUGAAAACAUUGACAUUACCAAGAUCAGGCAGCUGAGGCUGGAUGACAUUCGGAAAUAUUUCUUCUUUGCAUCCUUUUGGACUACAAACUAUUAUUUGUGUCUUUUGAUUAUUAAAAAAAUGUUUACACUAUUAUAUAAAUAAUAUAGUUCCUUAACUGUUGUAAUAGUUGUUUUUCAUUAUCAUUGCAUUCUUCUGCUGUGGUAACAUUGCCUCUAUUAAUAGGUAAGCUGCUCAUUUUGAAGUAAAACUGUGCUAUUAAAUAAACUUAAAUAAAUAAAUUAUCUUCCCUCACA